AUGCAGGUCGAGUCUUCACAUAAAAAACCUUUCCCUCCGACGAAGGCUUUAUUUUGGAAUAUUAGAGGUUUCGGUGCUAGGGGGCGCAGGGACCAGCUCAAAGAUCUUGUUCGGUCUGAGAACAUUGACAUCAUUGGUCUUGUAGAAACGCUUAAAUCUUCUUUCUCUCCUAAUGAACUUUGUGUCGUUGCUGGGAUUGAUAGGUUUGACUGGAAUUUUCUGCCUUCUUCAGGCCACUCGGGUGGAAUUCUUAUUGGUACUAAGAGAGACAUGUUUGAUUUUGUGGCCUUCGAUCAUGGCAUUUUUUGGGCUAGCACAGUAGAGUCUCAUCGCUCCCUCAAUAUGAUUUGGGAAGUCAUGGUUGUCUAUGGCCCGACUGACCACUCCCUUUCUUAUAUUUUCUUGGACGAAAUUCUAAAAAAGAUCAAAUCUUUUGGAGACGUAUCACUUAUUGGUGGUGACUUUAAUUUGAUGUGCUCUCCUCUGGAUAAAAACUCUCCUUACAUUUCUUGGCCGCUUGCUGACGUGUUUAACGCUUUUAUUCCUGAUUCCACAAUCCGUGAAGUGUCUAGGGUGGGUGAGGGAGUCCUGGAUUAA
This 597-nucleotide ribosomal RNA is filed under the name Triticum aestivum (bread wheat). RNAcentral describes it as "partial small subunit ribosomal RNA". Lineage: Eukaryota; Viridiplantae; Streptophyta; Magnoliopsida; Poales; Poaceae. The record is from RNAcentral.